AUUAUAAGUCGGGAUUUUAUUUUAUUUUAUUUUAUUUAUUAAUUAUUCAGAAAUAUCUUAUUAGUUUAGUAUAUUUAUAGAAAAAUUUAUUUUAAUUAUAGUUUAUUUAACUGUAAAGGUUAUUUUAUUUUAUUUAAAAGCUUAAUUUUAUUUAGUACCUUUUGUAUCAGGGUUUAUCUAUUUAUUUUAUUUAUUUUAAAUAUCCCGAAAUUAAAGGAGUUAAUUUUAAAUGAUUUUUUAUGUUUUAAAAUGAUUUUUAAUUUAAAAUUGGUAAUUAUAUGUUAUUCAACUUUAAAUAUCUGGUUUAUUAAUAAUUGAAUUUAAUUCAUAAUUGUUAAAGUUAAAUAAUAAUUUUAUUUAUAUUAAUUUGAUAAUUAAAUAUUAUGGGGGAUAAGCUCUGUUUUAUUAUUAUAACUUAAAAUUAGAAAAUUUUUGUAGGCUUAGUAACAGCUAUCUUUAAUUUCGUUAUAGUUUAUAUUUUCUUUUAUUUUAUUUAUUCUUAUGUUUAGUUAUUUAUUAAUAUUAUAUAAUUAAUUUUUUUUAUAUGUAAUAAUGAUAAAAUUAGUAGUUUUGUGAUAUUGAAUAUAGUAAUUCGGCAAAUAUUAUCUUCGCCUGUUUAACAAAAACAUGGUUUAUUGAUUAAUAUUUUUAGAUUUGACCUGCUCAAUGAUUUAGUUAAUUAAAUAGCCGCGGUAUAUUAACUGUGCAAAGGUAGCAUAAUCAUUUGUCUUUUAAUUGGNNNNNNNNNNNNNNNNNNNNNNNNNNNNNNGAUAAACUUUCUUUAUUCAAUUUAAAUGAAUUUGAUAUUUUAGUGAAAAAGCUAGAAUUAUUUUGUGGGACGAGAAGACCCUAUAGAAUUUUAUAUUUUAUAGAUUAAUUUAUUAUAUUUAUUAAGAGUAUCUUAUUCUAUUUUUUAUUUAAUUGGGGUGAUUUUGAAAUUUUAAUAACUUUCAUUAAUUAUUUAUUCAAUAAUUUUUGUUUUUAGACUGAUCCUUUAUUAUGGAGUUAAAAGAUUAAAUUACCUUAGGGAUAACAGCGUAAUUCUUUUGGAGAGUUCUUAUCGAUAAAAUAAUUCUUUUGGAGAGUUCUUAUCGAUAAAAUGAGUUUGCGACCUCGAUGUUGGAUUAAAGUUAUUAUUGGGUGUAGAAGCUUAUUUAAUGGGUCUGUUCGACCUUUAAAUCUUUACAUGAUCUGAGUUCAGACCGGCGUGAGCCAGGUUGGUUUCUAUCUACAAUAGGUUUUUAAUAUUUUAGUACGAAAGGACCAAAUAUUAAUAAUAUUUAUUUUAUUUUGAUUAAUAUUA
Molecule: ribosomal RNA, 1303 nt
Filed under: Bryanellocoris orientalis
Lineage: Eukaryota; Metazoa; Arthropoda; Insecta; Hemiptera; Rhyparochromidae
Description: 16S ribosomal RNA
Rfam family: Archaeal large subunit ribosomal RNA (bases 1029-1219)
Source: RNAcentral